GACGAACGCUGGCGGCGUGCUUAACACAUGCAAGUCGAACGGAAAGGCCCUGCUUUUGUGGGGUGCUCGAGUGGCGAACGGGUGAGUAACACGUGAGUAACCUGCCCUUGACUUUGGGAUAACUUCAGGAACUGGGGCUAAUACCGGAUAGGAGCCUCUGCUGCAUGGUGGGGGUUGGAAAGUUUCGGCGGUUGGGGAUGGACUCGCGGCUUAUCAGCUUGUUGGUGGGGUAGUGGCUUACCAAGGCUUUGACGGGUAGCCGGCCUGAGAGGGUGACCGGCCACAUUGGGACUGAGAUACGGCCCAGACUCCUACGGGAGGCAGCAGUGGGGAAUAUUGCACAAUGGGCGGAAGCCUGAUGCAGCAACGCCGCGUGCGGGAUGACGGCCUUCGGGUUGUAAACCGCUUUCGCCUGUGACGAAGCGUGAGUGACGGUAAUGGGUAAAGAAGCACCGGCUAACUACGUG
Molecule: ribosomal RNA, 467 nt
Filed under: uncultured bacterium
Lineage: Bacteria
Description: partial 16S ribosomal RNA
Rfam family: Bacterial small subunit ribosomal RNA
Source: RNAcentral